Molecule: long non-coding RNA, 325 nt
Filed under: Gallus gallus (chicken)
Lineage: Eukaryota; Metazoa; Chordata; Aves; Galliformes; Phasianidae
Description: long non-coding RNA NONGGAT011728
Source: RNAcentral
UAUCUGGUCGCUUAGGCCAAAAGCUAAUAACAAAGAAUCACAGAAUCAGAGAACUGUCGGGGUUGGAAGGGACAACUGGAGAUCGUGGGGUCCAGCCCCCUGCUAAAGCAGUUCCCUGCAGUAGAUUGCACAGGAAGGCAUGCAAGUGGGUCUUGGAUAUCUAUAGAGGAGACUCCACAACCUCUCCAACCAGCAUCUUCCAGUGCUCUGUCACCUUCAAAAUAAAGAUGUCUAUAUAGAACUUCAUGUGUUACAGUUUGUGCUUGUUACCCCUUGUUCUCUCACUGGGCACUGUUGAAAAGAGCUUGGGCACAUCCACCUGACA